Molecule: ribosomal RNA, 432 nt
Filed under: uncultured bacterium
Lineage: Bacteria
Description: partial 16S ribosomal RNA
Rfam family: Bacterial small subunit ribosomal RNA
Source: RNAcentral
AACGAACGCUGGCGGCAUGCCUAACACAUGCAAGUCGAACGAGACCUUCGGGUCUAGUGGCGCACGGGUUCGUAACGCGUGGGAACCUGCCCUUAGGUUCGGAAUAACUCCCCGAAAGGGGUGCUAAUACCGGAUAAUGUCUUCGGACCAAAGAUUUAUCGCCUUUGGAUGGGCCCGCGUUGGAUUAGCUAGUUGUUAGGGUAAAAGCCUACCAAGGCGACGAUCCAUAGCUGGUAUGAGAGGAUGAUCAGCCACACUGGGACUGAGACACGGCCCAGACACCUACGGGAGGCAGCAGUGGGGAAAAUUGGACAAGGGGCGAAAGCCGGAUCAAGCAAUGCCGCGUGAGUGAUGAAGGCCUUAGGGUUGUAAAGCUCUUUUACCCGGGAUGAUAAUGACAGUACCGGGAGAAUAAGCACCGGCUAACUCCGU